This 160-nucleotide small nuclear RNA is filed under the name Hordeum vulgare. Its description in RNAcentral is "U1 spliceosomal RNA". It matches the Rfam family "U1 spliceosomal RNA". Rfam says of the family: U1 is a small nuclear RNA (snRNA) component of the spliceosome (involved in pre-mRNA splicing). Lineage: Eukaryota; Viridiplantae; Streptophyta; Magnoliopsida; Poales; Poaceae. The record is from RNAcentral.
AUACUUACCUGGACGGGGUCAACGGGUGAUCAAAAAGGCUCGUGGCCUAGAUCAAUGGCUCACAUUGCACAGAGUGAGUGUGUUGGUCUACCAUCUCCUUAAAUAGGAGAGUGGACGUCAUAAUUUCUGUUAGAGGGGUAUGCGUCCGCGCGACCCCUGC